This 433-nucleotide ribosomal RNA is filed under the name uncultured bacterium. RNAcentral's name for it is "partial 16S ribosomal RNA". It matches the Rfam family "Bacterial small subunit ribosomal RNA", at positions 29 to 507 of the family's 1533-position model. The record is from RNAcentral.
AACGAACGCUGGCGGCAGGCUUAACACAUGCCAGUCGAACGCACCUUUCGGGGUGAGUGGCAGACGGGUGAGUAACGCGUGGGAAUCUACCCUUCUCUACGGGAUAGCUCCGGGAAACUGGAAUUAAUACCGUAUACGUCCUGAGGGAGAAAGAUUUAUCGGGGAAGGAUGAGCCCGCGUUGGAUUAGCUAGUUGGUGGGGUAAAGGCCUGCCAAGGCGACGAUCCAUAGCUGGUCUAAGAGGAUGGUCAGCCACAUUGGGACUGAGACACGGCCCAAACUCCUACGGGAGGCAGCAGUGGGGAAUAUUGGACAAUGGGCGCAAGCCUGAUCCAGCCAUGCCGCGUGAGUGAUGAAGGCCCGAGGGUUGUAAAGCUCUUUCAGUGGGGACGAUAAUGACGGUACCCACAGAAGAAGCCCCGGCUAACUUCGUG